RNAcentral lists this long non-coding RNA (1925 nucleotides) under Heterocephalus glaber (naked mole-rat). RNAcentral's name for it is "lncRNA (ENSHGLG00000048387.1)". Lineage: Eukaryota; Metazoa; Chordata; Mammalia; Rodentia; Bathyergidae. The record is from RNAcentral.
UUGAGGUUGCGGGGCCCGGGCGGGGGUACGUGGCCCAGGCCCGGCCUCCUAGGGACCCGGGCUGCGCUGGGCGCGCUGGGUCGCUCGCUCUGGCGCCAGCCUCUCCCCGUGCUCCACUCCUUUCUCUCGACGAGGCUGGGCCGGCCUGCAUCACCGUGACCUCACCUCCAUUCAGGGCGCUUAUCCGGCGCCCGCCCGAGCUCCAGGCAAGGAGUCUCUGCACUGGCUUGACGCCCAUGCCCCCGGACUGCUUAGAGGUGUGCACUGGCAUUGGGAACCAGUGAGGCCAGGCUGGAAAGAAUCGGUGAAAUCGGCUAGAAGCAAAGGAAGAAGAAACAGGCAAAACACCACAGGGUGAUACCCCUGUGAAGGGCUCUGACCAGGUGGAUGGACCAGGCUGGCCACUGUUUGGAGAACAGUGGACUUUGGAGGAUGAGCAGAAGGGGACCAAGAGUUUCGAUGGGGAGAGAAGUCUCCGUGAGCUGUGAGAGCCUGGAAUCCAGUCCUCAGGGGAGAGGCCUGCAGUGAGAGGUUUUGGCCCUCAGGAGGGGGCAGAGCUCAAGGAGAAAACUGAAGUCUGCCCCAAGGCAAACCCUCAUCAGCGUGUUUCUGGAGAAAUGGUCACACUGCAGAGAAAAAGCAAGCCAGUGACCUGAGGGCCUUGGAUGUUACUAUGGAACAUCUUAGGUCUCGGUGGUGACCAUUUGGGGAGAACUACGCCUAGUACCCUUCCUUCAUGUUUUCCAAAGGGCUACACCUGGCCAGCAGAGUCAUCAGGCAGCUACAAGCACACCUGGAGGUUCUUUGCAUCCAAUUUUCAUAGGCGAUAUUGCUCAUUCAAAGGUAAAUUUCACUUGCCACUGACUUUUCUCAUUUCUGCCCUAUUUCCCUCCUGGUUUCAUCCACAAAAUGGUUCACUGUUUCUUGCUCUCAAGUGUGAGACAGGGGCUACAGCCAUAAAAGGGAAAAGAGAGCAGGUACUUCUCCUAGGAAAGCCUAUGGCUCCUGGGCCUCUGCUUGUCCAAGGUCAUUUUGAUCGGCUUAAACCACUGAAGCCGGUGCAGAAGAGAUUUCUUCCCAGCAGCCCUUUCGCCCUAAUACCGUAUUGCAUUUCAAAACAGUUGUCUUGUUCUCCUGGUCAUUUCCUAACUAGGCCUGCAAGCAGCACCCUGGCUCCUUCCCUGUCCUUGGACCUGCUCUGGCAUGAAAUGUGAUCCAAAAAGGCCCUCAGAGAAAGCCCAGCCCGCUGUCGACCUGCUUUUGUGCACCUUCCAAACAGCUCUCCUGCAGGGCAUCAGGAGCUGUUUUCCCCGUGCCAGGACCGAACUACAUUCUGACCCCACUGACCCCACUGGCUGCCCUCCCUGCCCUCAACACAGGGUACACAGCCAGCUGUGGACAAGGCACCGAUACUAAUGGCCUGUGCUAGGUAGGAAUUCUAGAAAUUCUAUUCUUUCUUUCUUCAUUUCUUUUCUUUUUUUUAUGGAGUCUCACUGAGUUGCCCAGGCUGGCCUCAAACUUACAGUCGUUCCUGCCUCACCCACCCGAAUAGUGGGAUUAUAGGGAUGCACCGUUAUGCUCAGCUUUGGCAGUGGUACAGAUUCUAAAUUCACAGGACUUCUGCCUACCUCAGCUUUCUGCUCUUGGGAUUCAGUUAGAAUAGGAGCACUGUUCAGGGAGUCGAGAUCUAGGUUCAGGACUCAGCCUGCCCUGGAGUCACUGGGGUGUGUAGCUCUUUUCACCCUCUUGAACCACUUUCUGACCCAUCUAACAACAAUAAACAGAACUGUUAGAAGUUAUACACUAACUUCUUGAUCCCUCCCAACAUUCUUUUUUUGUUUGUUUGUUUUGGUACUGGGAAUCUAACUCCCGACCUUGUGCUUGUGAGGCAGGCACCAGAACCACUGAGCUAAAUCCCUGGCCCC